This 98-nucleotide ribosomal RNA is filed under the name Russula sp. 'Bremen 6b'. Its description in RNAcentral is "partial 5.8S ribosomal RNA". It matches the Rfam family "5.8S ribosomal RNA", at positions 1 to 95 of the family's 154-position model. From Rfam's summary of the family: 5.8S ribosomal RNA (5.8S rRNA) is a component of the large subunit of the eukaryotic ribosome. It is transcribed by RNA polymerase I as part of the 45S precursor that also contains 18S and 28S rRNA. The record is from RNAcentral. Lineage: Eukaryota; Fungi; Basidiomycota; Agaricomycetes; Russulales; Russulaceae.
UACAACUUUCAGCAACGGAUCUCUUGGCUCUCGCAUCGAUGAAGAACGCAGCGAAAUGCGAUAAGUAAUGUGAAUUGCAGAAUUCAGUGAAUCAUCGA